RNAcentral lists this transfer RNA (52 nucleotides) under Senticolis triaspis. RNAcentral's name for it is "partial tRNA-Ser". Lineage: Eukaryota; Metazoa; Chordata; Lepidosauria; Squamata; Colubridae. The record is from RNAcentral.
GAGGGUGUAAUAAGAUUUGCUAACUCUUUAAUCUGGAACCAACUACCAGCAC